This is a long non-coding RNA of Rosa chinensis, 900 nucleotides long. RefSeq lists it as uncharacterized. The transcript is spliced from 2 exons. Lineage: Eukaryota; Viridiplantae; Streptophyta; Magnoliopsida; Rosales; Rosaceae. The record is from RefSeq and is a predicted model, not a curated record.
GUUUCACCAACUGGUAGAGACCCAUUUCGCAAAAAUGCCUAUUUUCUCAAACCCAUUCUCCCUAAUUCCUCCAUUUAUGAAACUGCUUUCAAGCUCCCUCACUGUUUCAGUGUUUCUCCUCCCUCCCACCCCGUUUUGACCCAGAAAAGUUGGAGCUUCAAUUCCGUGGAUGGCGUUUCGACCACCAAGAUCUCCACUUGGCUUCUAAGCACCAAUUGACAGGGGAAGAAAGCUGGUAUUUAUGAAGCCAUCUUCAAUUCCAUGUACGAAAUCAAAAAGAAAAAAGAUUUGGUUUGCGGGUUUGCAGAGAGAUGGUCUUCCGAGACCAACACCUUCAUGUGAAGCAAUAAUCACAUUGGAGGAUGUCAUGGUUUUAGGAGGACUUUUGGUUUUGGGAGACUCCAUUUUCAAUCCUAUUGAAAGCAGAGAACUGAAAGCAUUACAAGACAAACUUGAGGUUGAGCGAAUGGGACUUUACAAUCGCAAGGGUGGGUUUAGAGUUGCUUACACAUACCUAUGGACGAAGAAGUUCAUGAAGAAUGGGAGUGAAUUAAAGCACGAAGCAUUCCUUGUGUUCUGGCUGUCCAGGUGAAGGUUUUAAUUCCAUGGCCAUUAAGAACUGGAAUUUUCCUAGAAACUAUGUUGAAAAGGAAGAGUGGGUAUUGGUUGGUGCAGGCUUGGUUGACGAACUAUUGUCUAUUGUCAUUUGCGACGUGCUUGAGGGUGGCUGAAUUAGUUGGAUUUGAUACUAUUCAGCAAUACCUUCCACAUCGAGUUGCUAGGCAAUUUGGAUUUGAUCAAGACCUUCCAUGUUCUGUUUCUGGACACAGCCACAAUUAUGAUAAUGCUGAAGAUACUUGAAUUGGUUGAAGGAAUCAGUGUCAGGCCUCGAACAGAGAC